RNAcentral lists this ribosomal RNA (253 nucleotides) under uncultured bacterium. RNAcentral describes it as "partial 16S ribosomal RNA". It matches the Rfam family "Bacterial small subunit ribosomal RNA", at positions 524 to 776 of the family's 1533-position model. The record is from RNAcentral.
UACGUAGGGACCAAGCGUUGUUCGGAAUUACUGGGCGUAAAGCGCACGUAGGCGGAUUUGUAAGUCAGGGGUGAAAUCCCGAGGCUCAACCUCGGAACUGCCUUUGAUACUGCAAAUCUCGAGUCCGGAAGAGGUGAGUGGAAUUCCUAGUGUAGAGGUGAAAUUCGUAGAUAUUAGGAAGAACACCAGUGGCGAAGGCGGCUCACUGGUCCGGUACUGACGCUGAGGUGCGAAAGCGUGGGGAGCAAACAGG